ACUCAAAUGAAUUGACGGGGGCCCGCACAAGCGGUGGAGCAUGUGGUUCAAUUCGACGCAACGCGAAGAACCUUACCUGGGCUCGAAAUGCAGUGGACCGGGGUGGAAACAUCCCUUUCCGCAAGGACUGCUGCAUAGGUGCUGCAUGGCUGUCGUCAGCUCGUGUCGUGAGAUGUUGGGUUAAGUCCCGCAACGAGCGCAACCCUUAUUGCCAGUUGCUAACACGUUAUGGUGAGCACUCUGGCGAAACCGCCCCGGAUAACGGGGAGGAAGGUGGGGAUGACGUCAAGUCCUCAUGGCCUUUAUGUCCAGGGCUACACACGUGCUACAAUGGCCGAUACAAACCGUCGCAAACCCGCGAGGGGGAGCUAAUCGGAAAAAGUCGGCCCCAGUUCGGAUUGUAGUCUGCAACUCGACUACAUGAAGCUGGAAUCGCUAGUAAUCGCGGAUCAGCACGCCGCGGUGAAUACGUUCCCGGGCCUUGUACACACCGCCCGU
RNAcentral lists this ribosomal RNA (498 nucleotides) under uncultured bacterium. RNAcentral describes it as "partial 16S ribosomal RNA". It matches the Rfam family "Bacterial small subunit ribosomal RNA", at positions 899 to 1397 of the family's 1533-position model. The record is from RNAcentral.